RNAcentral lists this long non-coding RNA (531 nucleotides) under Ananas comosus (pineapple). Its description in RNAcentral is "long non-coding RNA (ACOM_LNC001046)". Lineage: Eukaryota; Viridiplantae; Streptophyta; Magnoliopsida; Poales; Bromeliaceae. The record is from RNAcentral.
GAGCGUGGCACUCCGAGUCACCUCAAUUCCAAUUGUUAGAAUUUUCAUAUAUUGUGGCCCAAUUAGUCAUAUUUAAAUUAAAAUUUGCUAUAGAUAAAGGUAAAUCCUAACAGAUUUAGAACUACUUGAUAUGGUAUGUUUUAUCCAUAUUCCAUCUAUUUUAAAUUUAAAUAGAAUCCUAAUCAGACUUUGAUGGGAAGUCGAUAUGAACUCUAUAUAAAGGGGUAUAGGUCCUGCCACCUUCUCAUACGCAUUUCGGUGAAGAAUUACCAUCUGUUCCACACCAUACGGUAGAGUGCAUGAGAUAAGGGGAGAAAUCAAAUCACCCAAGUUCGGUUCGUGACUUUCAGAUCAUAGCCGGACUUCAUGCUUCCGCAAGAUUGAUCAAGAAUUUCUUUUCUAUGGCGCUCUGUGAGUUAUCUUAUUUUAUUUUGAUCCUGGAUUUUGGUAUGUAUUUAAUUUUCAUCUUAUUUUACAUACCUAUAAAAAUCUAUCAAUUGGUAUCAGAGCCAUUUAACGAUAAGUUAUAUA